This 20-nucleotide non-coding RNA is filed under the name Rattus norvegicus (Norway rat). Lineage: Eukaryota; Metazoa; Chordata; Mammalia; Rodentia; Muridae. The record is from RNAcentral.
CUGCAUUUAAUGGAGCCCCC